UGUGUGUGUGUGUGUACAUGAGUCUGGCAUAUACUUAUUACAUUGGAAUAUAAUUGUUUUGGAACUCAUGGGUUUUUGAUCCUCUUAAUGAACCUGUUGGUGUUAUCAUCUAAAAAUCCAUUGCAUCAUUUUUAAACUGGGUUCAAAUGAACAAAUUUCUCCUUUUGUUCAGUUGGUAAUUAUAUCGCCUCUGUAAUUAUCCUACCAGUGUAGUUCACUCUUAGACAUACUGUGGAUCCUUGUGAAAUCCAUCUGUGUUAUAUAGGGCACAUCUGCAACACUCCUGUCAUGCAGAGCUGCAAGAAUGUGAAUGCAACAAACACGACCUCGAGCACUCAUGAACAGGAUAUCCAUCCUCUCACAUUCAUCUGCACUCUUCUCAUCCCCAAAGGAAUGUGCAUAUAUUACCUUUUAACAUUACAGGUGAGCUUUGCUUUUCACAGAUAAUUGUGCAGAAAUUUCCAAAGUUGCCAAUUAGCAUUAACAAAAGAUUUAGGAUUAAGUGUAAGAACCCAAACACACAACACAAGAUAAUUAUAUCAAUUUGUCAUGAGAAAUCAAAACAGAUAAUUUUAGGAUCAUUUGACCCAGAGUGUUUUACUGACACAUUGGUGAAAACAAAAGAUGCAUACAUACACACACACAUUAUGCUAAUAAGUUAUUUGAGAAGUUAAUUGCAUAGAUGUACUGUAUGUAAUCAUGAAAGAUUCAUUCUGGCUUAUGCAAGCAUCUGUGUUGUGAUUUAAAAAUGCAAAACUGAUUUAUUGGACUAUAUAAACUGUGAUAAACAUUAAACAUUUGGUACUAUGCAAAUAAUCUGUAAUUAUAUUACUAAGUACUUAUGGUAUCCAGUAUUCCGUGUUUUUAAUAGACUACUAAAAUGCUGUGGGUGGUUUCCUCCCACCAAAUGUUACUUAUAAAUAUAUACAUACAAAUACUGAUAAUGCAUGGAUUGUAUUUGUUUAGGAAAGGCUUCUCUUCUUAAUGAACAAGACCUGUGCUUAUAAAAUGUCCUCAGUUUCCUCCACAGUGUCUCUGGGACAGCAGCAACUGCAGCACCGUCUGAUCCAGUGCAGUAGCCGCAAUCUCCGUGAAGUUGGCCCGACUAUGCCUCCUCUCUGGGAUUCUCCUUUCGCUCCUUUCUCCCUCUCUUCACUCAGGGCAUGCACAGAAAUCUCCAUCCUUCCACCGACUCUUUCCAUCUGUUCAGUCGUCACUCUUUGAGCUCCUCCAAUCUGCUCUCCAUCUCCUUCCAGCAUCAGCGUUUGCACGGCUCUGUCCGUCACCCGUCUGAAUCUGUCCACUCUUAGAGCUGCAUCACUAAUGAGGCGCUCCAUAAUCUCCAAGUGCUGACUACUUGUUUCUGUUUCUUCACUCUUCAGUCGAUUGAUUUCAAUCAGCAUACACUCCCUUAACAGAAGUAUUUCCUUUUCCUUUUCUAUGAGCAUGAGUCUGUCAGUUUCCCUCUCAUGCUGGAGGGCUUCAUUAUAUCUUUCCAUUUCAGCUUUCCGUAGCUCCAACUCGAUUUGUUCUCUUUGCAUUCCCAGUCUUUCCAGUUCCUUCCUCUGUAUGUCUUGUAAUCUGUUCUUUAGUUCAUCUUUCAUUUCCUGUAUUCUCCUUUUCAUUGCAUCUAUCUCUUCAUACUGUGGUGGAGCAUCUCUUUCCUGGUCUUCAGUUUGUGUCUCUUGAGUUCUCUUCUGCUUAACAUCCUCUGUAUGUUCUUGAAUGGAUUUUGUAGUUGCCAUUACUUCAUGAUCUUCUUGUUCACUCUGAAUAUUAGUUUCCUGUUGAGUCUUCUCAGUCCUUGUCUGUCUUUGUAUGUCAGUCUCAAUUUGUUGCAGUUCUCUUCUUUUGCAUUCAUAGCUUUGUGUGAGAUGAUCAAUCUCCUUGGUAAGUCUCAGUACCUCAGCUUGAACCUUCUCCAGGCUGUUCCUCCUCCUCUCGAGACUCUCCAUGAUCACUGACUUUUCUUCUUCAGCGGUUUUACAUUCAUCCCUCAAUUUAUGCAGGUGAUCCUUUGCCUUCUCCAUCUCAAGAAGGCCAGUUUGUAUGAUCUUCAUUUUAUUCUCCAUUUCGUCAUGUUGCCUCUGUAGUUCAGCUCUCAUGAUGUUUAGCUCAUCUCGUUCUAGGGUUGUGCCAUCCAUUAGCUGAAGAACUUCUCUUUGGGUGUCAGUUUUGUAGAUUUUUGCUUUUGUUUCUCCAUCUGUUUUGGCCCAAUGAAUCUCAGUCAGUUCCAGACUGCUGUCUCUGUCUGUCUUUUUCUCCUCUUUAGUGUCUUGUACUUGUUCCAAUGCUUUUUUGUAUGUGACUUUCUCAGCAUCCCUGUCACUUUUAACGGAAGUAUCAUCUGUUUUUCCCUUGAUUUUUAGUGUCUCCUGUUCAUUUUGCUUUUGUUGAAGCAACUCAUUUUCAAUGUUUUCCUUCUCUUCUUUCAGUGACCCUAUAGUCUCUUCCAGUUGUCCCAACUUUAUCACGAAUGCUUCUGUGAUGCUCUCUAUUUCCUUAUUUUUCUUCUCAAGGUUGUUUGAUAAAUCCUCCUUGUCUUGUGUAAGUUGUAGCAGUUUUUCUUCAUUUCUUGACUUCUCCUUCAUGACUUCCUUCAUAUUUCUCUCAAAGUCUUUUUUUGCUUGUUCCAGUUCAUGUCUCUCUUUUUUCAUCAUUGUCUUCAUUCUCUCCAAAUCUUCAAUUUCUUUGUUUAAAGAGUCCAUUAUUUCUUGCACUUCAGAUGGGUGUGUGUCUUUUGACUUGGCCACAGUGGGUUGUUUUUUCUUUGUUGCAGCCGUUUCAUCUUCUAAUUCCUUUUGUCUACCAUCAUCUGUUUUCUUAAAGUCAUCCAAAGAUGUUUGUGUUUCAGCAUCUACUGAGGUGGUCUUCAUCUGAUAUAUCUCAAGUUCAUCUGUUUUUUGUUUCUUUACUUCUACGUCCUCUCUUAGGACAUCAGCAUCCCUCUUUGAGUGAUCUUUUGUUUUCAUCUCUUCUGGUAAGCGAUGCAUUUCUACUUUCUGUCUCUUUAUUUGAAUCUCCAUGUUUAACAUCUCCAGUUCAGAUAAUUGUCUGUUUAUUUGCUUUUGCAGGUCCUCCAUUGUUCUUGUCUUUUCUUCUAUAAUGCCUUCCAUGUCCUCUUUUUCUUUCUGCAUCAUGUCUUUAUCUUGUUGCAGCAAAGUUCUCUCAUGUUGUAUGCUUUGUUUGCUGUCUUCAGCCUCUUUCUUCAGUCUGUUUAAAUCAGCUCUCUCCUUUUCGAUACGAUAUUUUUCACUUUCAUUUAUCUUUUUGCUGUUUUCAAUCUCCUUUUUGUCCCUUUGAAUGUCAUUAUUAAGCUUUUCAAGCUCUUCUUGUUUUGUCUGGAUAUUUUUAUUGAGCAUAUGUCUGUGUUCAUCAAGUUCAGACUUCUCUUUCUGAAGCACAUCUCUCUCUCGUUUGAUGACCACCAUGAUGUCUUCUAAUUCCUGCUGCUGUUGAUCUAAUGUGAGCUUUUUCUUUUCGAUCUGAUUUUUUUCCACCUCAAUUGUGUUCCUCAGUUCUUCUAGUUCAUCCAUCUGUUUCUGGAGAUCAGCCUGCAAUUCAGCAUCUGUCUUUUCUUCUUCAGUGUCCUCCUUGACCUUUUGUAAAGCAGCUUGGAUCUGUGUUUCACUCUCCACUGCUGUUUUUACAUCUUUCUUCUUUAUUUGGGUCUUGGCUUGCUGAUCAAUUUCUGUCAGUAAAUCUGCUCUUUUCUGAGUUAAAUUUUCCAUCUCUUUUUCAAACUGUUCUCUGUUUUCUGCCAUUUCUUGCUUGGACCUUUCAAUUUCAAAAUUUAAGCUUUGCAGUUCAUCUUUCUUUCUCUGGAUUUCUUUCUUCAAAGCAUCAGUCUCCUCUCUUUCCUUUCCAAGAGGAUCUGCUGUGAUUUUCUCAAGCUCAUCGGUCUGUUGCUUUGCAUCAACUUUGAUUUGAUCAAAAACAUUCUUCUGAUCUUCAAAUGUUUUGAUUUUUUCUUGUAGUUGUCGUCUGUCUUGUUCUAGAUGAGUUUUCAUGCUCUCUAAAUCAUUUCUCACUUUUCUGUUUUCAUUCAUCAAGCCAUCUACCUCUUGCUGCUGUUGAUUCAUAACAAUUUGCCUCUUUUCCAGCUGCAUUUUCUCAGCUAUCACAAUGUUUCUUAAGUUAUCUACAUCUUUUCUUUGCAUGUCAAGUUCUUUUUCUUUGUUUUCCAGAUCCUGUUCUUUAAGUCGUAUUUCAUUCUGUGUGCUUUCCACUGUCUCUCUUAGCUGUGUUAUAUCAGUAAUCUUCUGCUCCAAUGUCAGCCUCUCUUUGUGCAGUUCUUGCAUUGUCAAGUCAUUUUUUUCUUUUUGCUUUUGGAGAUCUUCUCUUAGAGCCUCAUUCUCUGCUUUGCUCUUCUCUAAGUUCUCUUUCUGUGUCUGAAGUUGCAGUAGAUCUGAUUGCAGAAGCUUUGUCUGCCUCUCGAUGUCGGCACGCAUAGUACUGAGCUCUUCUUCUUUCCUUCUCAUGUCAUCCAGUCUCUUUGGAAUGUUCUCUUGGUCUUUACUGAUUUGAGAGGUGAUUCGGUCAGUUUUCCUGAUUUCCUCAUUAAGAUUUUCAGACUUUCUUUGUAAAUCUGCCUUGAUCUCCUCCAGAGAGUCUUUUUCUUUUUGAAUAUUUUGUUUGUCAUUGUUCAUUUGCACAAUGUUGCUGUCCAGUUGAGAUUUUUUAUUUUCAGUUUCGUUCAUUAACUGCUUCAGCAUUUUCUUUUCCUCUUCAAUGCUCUUCUUCUCCAACUGUAACUCGGUUUUUAAUUGAUCCAUUUCAUGUUUUUCUGUUAACAGUCUGUCCAGCAUAUCUUUCUUCUCUUCCUCAGAUUUAUUUCUCAAUUGCUCUAGGUCUUCCAACUCACUCUUGAUGGUUUUCAGAAUGUUUUCCAUCUCUUGCUUUUCUUGUUUUACUUCUGCUUUCUCUCUGUCAAGUUCAAUUUUCUCUCUUUCUAAGAUAUUCCUUAGCUCUUCUACUUUGGUUUUCUGUUUCUGUAUAUCUGCUUCGCAUAGAGUUACUUUCUCUCUCUUAUUUUCCAUUUCAGUGGUUUUCCUUUCUAGCUCAGCAUUCAUUUUCUCCAAAGCCUUUCUUUCUCUUUGCAUGUCAUUCUCUUUGAUUUCAAAAUCCUCUUGCUGUUUUCUGAUUAUUUUCUCUAGCUCUUCAUGUUUAGUCUGUAUUUCUGCAUUCAUCUGUUCAAUUUGAUUCCUUUCUUUUGCUAACCUCACCUUGACAUUUUCUAUGUCUUCUAACUGUCUCUGUAUCUCAACUUCAGCAUGCUUCUCUCUUCUUUUGUUUUCCUCUGCUAGUUUAUCCAUAUCUUCUCUUUCUUUUUGUUGUUGAAUAACUAAAGCAUUUAGAUUUUCCCUCUCUUUUUGUAAGUCCUUCAUAAUUUUCUCUAGAGCAUUUGUCUCGUGUUGAAUCUCAGUCCUUAUGUCUUCUAAUUUUUGUUUUUCAAGCUUGAUCUCUUCUUUUUGGUCAUUUAAUUGGGUUUGCAUCUUUUCAAUAUGUUCCAUCUCUCUAUUAAUUCUCUCUUUGGUGGUUUCAACGUCCUCUUUCUCUUUCAGCAAUUGAUCAUUCAGAUGUGCUAGUCUUUUUCUCUCAGUUUUUAAGACUUGCAUGUCCUCGUCAUCUUGUCUGGACCUUUCAGUGGCUACCUGUGUCUCAACCCACUUUAUUUCUGCAGCUUUCCCAAUGUCUUCCACUUGUUGUUUGUGUUUGUUUAUUUCACACCUCUCUUGUUCUAGCUCACUCUUCUCCAUUGUCACUUCAUUCAUCAUUUCUUCUAGGUCUUUUGUCUGCUUUUGAAUUUGUUCUUUCAUGUGCAGCAGCUCGUCUCUUCUCAUUCUUAAAUCUUCAUUUUCCUUUUUAAUUUGUUCACGUUCUUCAGCCAUCUCAUCCUUAAAUUUCUCCAGAUUUUUCUUCUCUGCCUCUCUCUCCUCUGUUUUGAACUGUAGAUUUUCUAAUUCCUUAAGCUUAAUAUUCAGUUCAUUCACCAUGUCCUGUAAUCUCAUUUCUGCUUCUCUCUUUUCUUUUUCUAGAAACUGACAAGUGCUUUUCAAUUCUGAUUUUUCUCUGUUCAAAUUGUCAUUCAUCUGUUCCAGGUCAUCCUUCUGUCUCUUGGUUUCAUUGAGGAUUGCUUCAAUCUGGAUAAUUUUAUCUUGUAAGAUCUUAUCACUGUCCGUGACCCUUAUUUCUGCAGCCAUUUGCUGCAUUUCAGCUUUCUUCUUUUCCAGCUCACCCUUCUCUCUUGUUAUAAUGUCCAUCAUGUUUUCAAUUUCUCUCUGCUCAUUCUGGAGGUCGGCUUUCAUCCUUUCUAUUUCAUCUUUCUCUUCUUUUAAUGUGUGCAUAACACUGUGAGUUUCAUCAUAUUGCACUUCUGCAUUGGUUUUCUGUGGUUCCUCUUUCUGCAAAUCUGUUUUUAUUUGCUCCAGUUCAUGUUUUUCUCUCUCACAUUCCCUUUGUAUCUUCUGAAUUUCUUCUCUUUCAUUGUCAAUUUCAGUCUUCAUUUUUUCAAAUUCUGCUCUCCUUUGAUGAAGCUCUUUUUGUCUCCGUUCUUCAGUGUGCUCCAUUUCUUCUUGCUUUGUUUUCAUUUCCUCCUCAAUCUGUUUAAUCUUGUUUAUCCUUUUAUUCGCCUCAGUCAUAAUAAUUUUAAACUCUUCCUGUUCUUUGAAAAGUUGAGCUGCCAUUUCUUCUACCCUUUUCUUUUCUUUCAGUACAUCAUCCAAAAGUCUUUCUAUGUCCUCUGCUCUCCUUAACCUUGAUUCCAGCUUGUCUCUUUCUGUCUCUGUGUUUUGUUUCAUAAGCCUAAACUCCUCUUUAUGUGUCUCCAGAUCGAUUCUCAUUCUAUUCAGUUCAUUUCUUUCUGAGUUCAGCAUUGCCUGACGCAUCUCCAUUUCCAUUUGCUCCUUCUGCAGCCCAGUGAGUAUUUUUUCAACUUCAUCCCUCUCCUUUCUUAAUGCUUCCUUUUGGUUCUGUAUUUCCUCCAGGUGUCUUUUUAUAUACUCCUCUCUCUCUGGAAGUAUUUCAGUUAACUCGUGUUCCUCCAUUUCUUUGGUGUCCACCAUCUCUUGUCUCUUUCGUUUUAGCUCUGUAUUUAUGAAGUCCAACUCCUCUUGUCUCUGUUUCAUCUCAGCAGAGAUGGUUUCCAUUUCUCUCUUCUUUUUUUGUAGUUGAAAUUCCAUGUUUUCUAUUUUCUCCUGUUUGCUCUUGAUCUCCAUUAGAAUUUUUUCCAUGUCCAUCUUAAUUUGAUCUUGAGUCAUUUCUAACUCAGAUCUUUCAUUUUCCAUAUUCUGUCUGCAUAACUCCAUCUCUUCAUAUUGUUUCUCCAGAUUCUUCCUCUCUCUGUCAGUGUGUUGUCUCAUUGUCUCAAUCUCUUUCUGGUCUCUCUGUAAAACAAGUCUUGUCUUUUCUAGUUCCCUCUUCUCAGUCAUCAACAUUUCAGUAAGGCCAUCCACUUCAUCUUUAUUGAACUCCAACUUUACUGUCAUGGAUGGAUCAGCUAUAUCUUUAUAUUCUGUUGUCAGUGCAGUGUCUUCUUGGCUCGAGUCCAUUUUGGUUUCUUCACUUCUCAUUUUGAGCUCUGUGUCCUCCUGAUCUCUCAUUCUCUCUAAUUCGUCUUCCAUCCCUUUUGUCAUGAAAGUUGUAUAUUCCUUAUGAAUGCCUGUGUGUUCCUCAACAAUCUGUUCCUGAGGGGCUGAAAUGUUACCUACAGGAAUGUUGUCUAGAUCAGAUGUUUGUGUAGCAGAACUAACCAAAAUUAAUUCCAGCCUCUGUGUUGGUUGUUUUCUCUUCAUCUCGUCCAUUGCCUCUCUCUGAUGUUCAAGGAUUUUUUUGUUUCUUUCAAGUGCUUCCCUUUCCCUUUGAAUCUCGGACAAGAGUCUGUUGGCUUCAUCUAUCUGUAUCUGUUUUCCUUGAGAGGCCAUUUCUUCUCUCUUCUGUUGAAGAAGCUGUCCAGAUAGAUGUUCUUCUUUUAAUGUUUCAGACACAUCUUUCUCUUUUUCUAACUGUUGUGUCUGCUCUUUCAUGAUCUCUGUUUUAUCAGUCUGUCUCUUGAUUUCAGCCUUGGACUGUUCCAGAUCUUGCCUCUCAUCUUGCACUAUUUGCAAUUCCAGUUUGAUUUGCUCUUCUUGAGCAUUGAGUUCGGCUUUUGUUUGAUCCAUUUCCUUCUUUAGAUGGUCUAUCAUAUCCUUGCUCCUAUCAGUUUCUUUUUGUUCUAUCAAUAUCUUGGCCAUCAGUUGAUCAAGUUCCUCUCUCUCCAUCUUUGCUUUUACUCUCAUUUCUUCUUCCAUUUGUUGUCUGUAUUUUUCAAAAUCAUUUCUCAUGUUCUCUAGAUCUCUUCUCUCCUCAUUCACAACUCUUAUACUCUCCUCCAGUCUUUGCUGCUGUUGAUUAAUUUCAGCCUUUUCAGUCUGUAAGUCAUUUUUGAUUUCUUCAAUUUCGUCUCUUUGUUUUUGCAAUUUCUUCUGGAGAACAUCCAGCUCAUUCCACUUCUUCAUCUUGUCGUCUUUUUCUUUCUCUAAUUCAUUUCUCUGUCUCAAGAUUUCACCAGCCUUGUGCUCAAGAAGCUUCUUCUCUUCAUCCAUUGAUCUUUUACUCAUCUCUUCUUUUUCUUUUUGUUCUGUCAUGUGCUUCUCUAGGUCAUCAGCCCUUCUUUGCAAAUCUUCUCUUUCCUUUUCAAUGUUAUUUCUAUCUUUUUCCAGAAGAUUUUUCUCUGUCUCAAACUUUUGAUUUUGUUGUGAUAUAUCAAACAUGAUUUUCUCUAAUUCACCCCUUCUCCUGUUUGUUUCUUCUAUGACUCUUUCAUAUUCCUUAUUAGCCUGUUUAAGUUUUUCUUCCAUUUCUGUUUUUUCAUCUUUCUUUCUGGUGUCCUCCAGAACAUUCCUCAUAGACUCAGUCUUUGACUGUUCAUAUUCAUAAAUUCUCUGUUGUAAUUCUGUCAAUUUAUGAUUCAUUUCUUCUCUUUCUUUUUCUAGAAGGUCUCUGCAGUUCUUUAACUCUUGUUUUUGUUUAUUUAUAUCUGUGUUCAUCCUUUCCAGAUCUUCUUUUUGUCUGUUUGUUCUUUCAGUGACACUCUCAAUUUCUUCCUUUUCCUUUUGUAGAUGAGCUUCCUUUUCUUUCAUUGUUUGUCUCUCCUUAUUAAUUUCCUCUUCCAUGUAUUGCACUCGUUCACUUUCUUUUUGCAGUUCUGUCUUUAUUUGAGACAGAAAAUCUUUUUCAUCAUUGAUCUUUUGUCUCUCAAGUUCAAUUUCUUCUUCAUGAAGUUUAAUAUUAUUUCUCUUUUCUUCCUCCUCAUUCAAUAAUUUCUGUACAUUUUCUUUGCUUUUCUCAAUAUUAGAUUUUUCUAGAUCUGUCUGUUUUAUUUUGUUGUCAAGUUCUGAUCUCUCUUCUUCUAUUUGUUUUCUUUGUAACAUUACUUCAGACCACAUCUUCUCAAGGUCAUUUCUUUUCUGUUCAAUGAUCUUUUUGGCAUCAUUAAUUUUCUUCUGCUCAUGAUCUAUUUUAGUUUUCUCUCUUUCCAGUUCACUCUUUAUCUGACCAAAUUCUUCUCUCUCCAUCUUUUCUUUUACCAUCCUUUCUUCUUCUUUCUCUUGUUCUUUCUUAAUAUGUUCUUGCAGUGUACACAACUCUUGCAUUUUUAGGCAUAUGUCUUGAUGUUCCUGCUCAGCUUUAGUUUUCAGCUUUUGAAUCUUGACUUUGGUCUCUUCUAGACCUUUUCUUUCUUCUUCUAUUUCCUUUUGUUCUGUUAGAUAUUCUUCCUUCUGUUUGCUGACUUGAGCAUCAAAUGCAUUCAUUCUCAGUUGUAACACUGUCCAUUUAUGGUUUAUUUCUUCUCUUUCUUGUUCUAGAAGGUCUCUGCUGUUCUUCAACUCUUGUUUUUGUUUAUCCAGAUCCUCUUUCUGUCUCUUUGUUUCUUCAGUGACACUCUCUAUGUCUUCCUUUUCCUUUUGUAGAUGAGCUUCCAUUUCCUUCAGUGUUUCUCUCUCCUUCUUUAUUCCCUCCUCCAUGUAUUUGAUUUGUUCGCUUUCAUUUUGCAGUUCUGCCUUACUUUGAGCUAAAAUUAAUUUUUCAUCAGUGAUCUUUUGCCUUUCGAGGUCAAGUUCUUCUUUCUGGAGUUUAAUAUAAUUUCUCUGCCCUUCUACUUUAUCCAUUAAUUUCUGAACUAUUUCUUUGUUCUUUUCAAUUUCAUCCUUUUCUAGAUCAAUAUCUUGUAUUUUCUGGACAAGUGCUGAUUUCUCUAGUUUGAUUGCUUCUCUCAUGUCUUCCAUUUGCUUUCUUUCUGUCAUAAUGUCAGACCUUAUCUUUUGGAGGUCUUUUCUUUCCUGUUCAAACAUCUUCUUAUCAUUGUCCAUUUCAGUUUUCUCUCGUUCCAGUUCCCUUAUUAUCUGAUCAAGUUCUUCUUUCUCUAUCUUUGCUUUUACUCUCAUUUCUUCUUCUUUCACUUUUUCUUUAAUAAAAUGUUCUUGCAGAGUGUUCAACUCUUGUAAUUGUUGGCUUAUGUCUUGUUGUUCCUGCUCAGCUUUAGUCUUCAGCUCCAUGAUCUUGACUUUGGUCUGUUCUAGACCUUUUCUUUCUUCUUCCAUCUCAUUCUGUUUCAUGAAAUCUUGUUCCUUCUGUUGCCUGGCUUGAGUAUCAAAUUCAUCAAUUCUCUGUUGUAACUCUGUCCAUUUAUGGUUUAUUUCUUCUCUUUCUUGUUCUAGAAGGUCUCUGCUGUUCUUCAUCUCUUGUUUUUGUUUAUCCAGAUCCUCUUUCUGUCUCUUUGUUUCUUCAGUGACACUCUCAAUGUCUUCCUUUUCCUUUUGUAGGCGAGCUUCCAUUUCCUUCAGUGUUUCUCUCUCCUUCUUUAUUCCCUCCUCCAUGUAUAUGUUUUGUUCAGUUUGUUUUUGCAGCUCUGUCUUACUUUGAGCUAGAAUUAAUUUUUCAUCAGUGAUCUUUUGUCUUUCGAGGUCAAGUUCUUCUCUUUGGAGUUUCAUAUAAUUUCUCUGCUCUUCUACUUUAUCCAAUGAUUUCUGAACUAUUUCUUUGUUCUUUCCAAUUUCAUCCUUUUCUAGAUCAAUAUCUUGUAUUUUCUGGACAAGUGCUGAUCUCUCUAGUUUGAUUGCUUCUCUCAUGUCUUCCAUUUGCUUUCUUUCUGUCAUGAUGUCAGACCUUAUCUUUUGCAGGUCUUUUCUUUCCUGUUCAAUCAUCUUCUUAUCAUUGUCCAUUUCAGUUUUCUCUCGUUCCAGUUCCUUUAUUAUCUGAUCGAGUUCUUCUCUCUCUAUCUUUGCUUUUACUCUCAUUUCUUCUUCUUUCUCUUUUUCUUUCAUAAUAUGUUCUUGCAGUGUGUUCAACUCUUGUAUUUUUAGUCUUAUGUCUUGUUGUUCCUGCUCAGCUUUAGUCUUCAGCUCCAUGAUCUUGACUUUGGUCUGUUCUAGACCUUUUCUUUCUUCUUCCAUCUCAUUCUGUUUCAUGAAAUCUUGUUCCUUCUGUUGCCUGGCUUGAGUAUCAAAUUCAUCAAUUCUCUGUUGUAACUCUGUCCAUUUAUGGUUUAUUUCUUCUCUUUCUUGUUCUAGAAGGUCUCUGCUGUUCUUCAUCUCUUGUUUUUGUUUAUCCAGAUCCUCUUUCUGUCUCUUUGUUUCUUCAGUGACACUCUCAAUGUCUUCCUUUUCCUUUUGUAGGCGAGCUUCCAUUUCCUUCAGUGUUUCUCUCUCCUUCUUUAUUCCCUCCUCCAUGUAUAUGUUUUGUUCAGUUUGUUUUUGCAGCUCUGUCUUACUUUGAGCUAGAAUUAAUUUUUCAUCAGUGAUCUUUUGUCUUUCGAGGUCAAGUUCUUCUCUUUGGAGUUUCAUAUAAUUUCUCUGCUCUUCUACUUUAUCCAAUGAUUUCUGAACUAUUUCUUUGUUCUUUCCAAUUUCAUCCUUUUCUAGAUCAAUAUCUUGUAUUUUCUGGACAAGUGCUGAUCUCUCUAGUUUGAUUGCUUCUCUCAUGUCUUCCAUUUGCUUUCUUUCUGUCAUGAUGUCAGACCUUAUCUUUUGCAGGUCUUUUCUUUCCUGUUCAAUCAUCUUCUUAUCAUUGUCCAUUUCAGUUUUCUCUUGUUCCAGUUCCCUUAUUAUCUGAUCGAGUUCUUCUCUCUCUAUCUUUGCUUUUACUCUCAUUUCUUCUUCUUUCUCUUUUUCUUUCAUAAUAUGUUCUUGCAGUGUGUUCAACUCUUGUAUUUUUAGUCUUAUGUCUUGUUGUUCCUGCUCAGCUUUAGUCUUCAGCUCCAGGAUCUUGACUUUGGUCUGUUCUAGACCUUUUCUUUCUUCUUCCAUCUCAUUCUGUUUCAUGAAAUCUUGUUCCUUCUGUUGCCUGGCUUGAGUAUCAAAUUCAUCAAUUCUCUGUUGUAACUCUGUCCAUUUAUGCUUUAUUUCUUCUCUUUCUUGUUCUAGAAGGUCUCUGCUGUUCUUCAUCUCUUGUUUUUGUUUAUCCAGAUCCUCUUUCUGUCUCUUUGUUUCUUCAGUGACACUCUCAAUGUCUUCCUUUUGCUUUUGUAGACAAGCUUCCAUUUCCUUCAGUGUUUCUCUCUCCUUCUUUAUUCCCUCGUCCAUGUAUUUGUUUUGUUCAGUUUGUUUUUGCAGCUCUGUCAUACUUUGAGCUAGAAUUAAUUUUUCAUCAGUGAUCUUUUGUCUUUCGAGGUCAAGUUCUUCUUUCUGGAGUUUAAUAUAAUUUCUCUGCUCUUCUACUUUAUCCAUUAAUUUCUGAACUAUAUCUUUGUUCAUUUCUGUCUCAUCCUUUUCUAGAUCAAUUUCUUGCAUUUUCUGGUCAAGUGCUGAUCUCUCUAGUUUGAUUGCUUCUCUCAUGUCUUCCAUUUGCUUUCUUUCGGUCAUGAUGUCAGACCUUAUCUUUUGCAGGUCUUUUCUUUCCUGUUCAAUCAUCUGCUUAUCAUCGUCCAUUUCUGUUUUCUCUCGUUCCAGUUCCCUUAUUAUCUGACCGAGUUCUUCUCUCUCUAUCUUUGAUUUUACUCUCAUUUCUUCUUCUUUCUCUUUUACUUUCAAAAUAUGUUCUUGCAGAGUGUUCAACUCUUGUAAUUGUUGGCUUAUGUCUUGUUGUUCCUGCUCAGCUUUAGUCUUCAGCUCCAGGAUCUUGACUUUGGUCUGUUCUAGACCUUUUCUUUCUUCUUCCAUCUCAUUCUGUUUCAUGAAAUCUUGUUCCUUCUGUUGCCUGGCUUGAGUAUCAAAUUCAUCAAUUCUCUGUUGUAACUCUGUCCAUUUAUGGUUUAUUUCUUCUCUUUCUUGUUCUAGAAGGUCUCUGCUGUUCUUCAUCUCUUGUUUUUGUUUAUCCAGAUCCUCUUUCUGUCUCUUUGUUUCUUCAGUGACACUCUCAAUGUCUUCCUUUUCCUUUUGUAGAUGAGCUUCCAUUUCCUUCAGUGUUUCUCUCUCCUUCUUUAUUCCCUCCUCCAUGUAUUUGUUUUGUUCAGUUUGUUUUUGCAGCUCUGUCAUACUUUGAGCUAGAAUUAAUUUUUCAUCAGUGAUCUUUUGUCUUUCGAGGUCAAGUUCUUCUUUCUGGAGUUUCAUAUAAUUUCUCUGCUCUUCUACUUUAUCCAUUAAUUUCUGAACUAUUUACUUUGUUCUUUCCAAUUUCAUCCUUUUCUAGAUCAAUAUCUUGUAUUUUCUGGACAAGUGCUGAUCUCUCUAGUUUGAUUGCUUCUCUCAUAUCUUCCAUUUGCUUUCUUUCUGUCAUGAUGUCAGACCUUAUCUUUUGGAGGUCUUUUCUUUCCUGUUCAAACAUCUUCUUAUCAUUGUCCAUUUCAGUUUUCUCUCGUUCCAGUUCCCUUAUUAUCUGAUCAAGUUGUUCUCUCUCUAUCUUUGCUUUUACUCUCAUUUCUUCUUCUUUCACUUUUUCUUUCAUAAUAUGUUCUUGCAGUGUGUUCAACUCUUGUAAUUGUUGGCUUAUGUCUUGUUGUUCCUGCUCAGCUUUAGUCUUCAGCUCCAGGAUCUUGACUUUGGUCUGUUCUAGACUUUUUCUUUCUUCUUCCAUCUCAUUCUGUUUCAUGAAAUCUUGUUCCUUCUGUUGCCUGGCUUGAGUAUCAAAUUCACCAGCUCUCUGUUGUAACUCUGUCCAUUUAUGCUUUAUUUCUUCUCUUUCUUGUUCUAGAAGGUCUCUGCUGUUCUUCAUCUCUUGUUUUUGUUUAUCCAGAUCCUCUUUCUGUCCCUUUGUUUCUUCAGUGACACUCUCAAUGUCUUCCUUUUCCUUUUGUAGGCGAGCUUCCAUUUCCUUCAGUGUUUCUCUCUCCUUCUUUAUUCCCUCCUCCAUGUAUUUGUUUUGUUCAGUUUGUUUUUGCAGCUCUGUCAUACUUUGAGCUAGAAUUAAUUUUUCAUCAGUGAUCUUUUGUCUUUCGAGGUCAAGUUCUUCUCUCUGGAGUUUCAUAUAAUUUCUCUGCUCUUCUACUUUAUCCAUUAAUUUCUGAACUAUUUCUUUGUUCUUUUCUGUUUCAUCCUUUUCUAGAUCAAUAUCUUGUAUUUUCUGGACAAGUGCUGAUCUCUCUAGUUUGAUUGCUUCUCUCAUGUCUUCCAUUUGCUUUCUUUCUGUCAUGAUGUCAGACCUCAUCUUUUGCAGGUCUUUUCUUUCCUGUUCAAACAUCUUCUUAUCAUUGUCCAUUUCAGUUUUCUCUCGUUCCAGUUCCCUUUUUAUCUGAUCAAGUUGUUCUCUCUCUAUCUUUGCUUUUACUCUCAUUUCUUCUUCUUUCAAUUUUUCUUUCAUAAUAUGUUCUUGCAGUGUGUUCAACUCUUGAAAUUGUUGGCUUAUGUCAUGUUGUUCCUGCUCAGCUUUAGUCUUCAGCUCCAGGAUCUUGACUUUGGUCUGUUCUAGACCUUUUCUUUCUUCUUCCAUCUCAUUCUGUUUCAUGAAAUCUUGUUCCUUCUGUUGCCUGGCUUGAGUAUCAAAUUCAUCAAGUUUCUGCUGUAACUGUGUCCAUUUAUUGUUCAGUUCUUCUCUCUCCUGCUCUAGAAGAUCUCUGUAUUUACUCAACUCUUGUUUUUGUUCAUUUAUGUUUGUGCUAAUCUUUUCCAGAUCCUCUUUCUGUCUCUUUGUUUCUUCAGUGACACUCUCAAUGUCUUCCUUUUGCUUUUGUAGACAAGCUUCCAUUUCCUUCAGUGUUUCUCUCUCCUUCUUUAUUCCCUCCUCCAUGUAUUUGUUUUGUUCAGUUUGUUUUUGCAGCUCUGUCUUACUUUGAGCUAGAAUUAAUUUUUCAUCAGUGAUCUUUUGUCUUUCAAGGUCAAGUUCUUCUUUCUGGAGUUUUAUAUAAUUUCUCUGCUCUUCUACUUUAUCCAUUAAUUUCUGAACUAUUUCUUUGUUCUUUUCAGUUUCAUCCUUUUCAAGAUCAAUCUCUUGCAUUUUCUGGUCAAGUGCUGAUCUUUCUAGUUUGAUAGUCUCUUUCAAGUGUUUUUCCAUUUGUUCUCUUUCUGUCAUUGUUUCAGACCGCAUCUUCUCCAGGUCUUCUCUUUCCUUUUUAAUCAUCUUCCUGUCGUUGUCCAUUUCAGUUUUCUCUUGUUCCAAUUCCCUCUUUAUCUGGUCAAGUUCUUCUCUUUCCAUCUUUGCUUUUACUCUCAUUUCUUCUUCUUUCUCCUUUUCUUUCAUUAUAUGUUCUUGCAGUGUGUUCAACUCUUGUAUUUUUAGGCUUAUGUCUUGUUGUUCCUGCUCAGCUUUAGUCUUCAACUCCAGGAUCUUGACUUUGGUCAGUUUUAGACUUUUUCUUUCUUCUUCCAUCUCCUCCUGUUUUAUUAAAUCAUUUUCCUUCUGUUGUCUAACUUGAGUUUCAAAUUCAUCAAUUCUCUGCUGUAACUGUAUCCAUUUAUUGUGUAUUUCAUCUUUCUCUUGCUCUAGAACCUCUCUGUAUUUUCUCAGCUCUUGUUUUUGUUCAUUUAUAUUUGUGCUCAUCAUUUCCAGAUUUUCUUUUCGUCUAGUCGUUUCUUCAGUGACACUCUCAAGUUCUUCCUUUUCCUUUUGUAAAAGAGCUUCCAUUUCUUUCAGCGUUUCUCUCUCUUUCUUUAUUACCUCUUCCAUGCAUCUGAUUUCUUCACUCUCUUUUUGCAGUUUAGUCUUUAUUUGAGCCUGAAGAUCUUUUUCAUCAUUGAUCUUUUGUCUCUCAAGUUCAUGUUUUUCUUCAUGGAGUUUAUUAUAAUUUCUCUGUUCUUCUACCUCAUCUAGUAUCUUCUGUACAAUUUCUUUGCUCUUCUCAAUGUCACAUUUUUCUAGAUCAGUCUGUUUUAUUUUGUUGUCAAGGUUUGAUCUCUCUUCUUCUAUUUGCUUUCUUUGUAACAUUAUUUCAGACCUCAUUUUCUCCAGGUCAUUUCUUCCCUGUUCAAUAAUAUUUCUGUCAUCAUAUAUUUUCUUCUGCUCAUGAUUUAUUUCAGUUUUCUGUCUUUCCAGAUCACUCUUCAUCUGAUCAAGUUCCUCUCUCUCCAUCUUUAGUUUUACUCCCAUUUGUUGUCUAUAUUCUUCAGAUUCAUUCCUCAUAUUCUCCAGAUCUCUUCUCUCCUCAUUCACAGCUCUUAUACUCUUCUCCAGGCUUUGCUGCUGUUGAUUAAUUUCAGCCUUUUCAGUCUGUAACUCAUAUUUGAUUUCUUCCAUUCCGUCUCUUUGUUUUUCUAAUGUCUUCCGGAGAACAUCCAGCUCAUUCCACUUCUUCAUAAUGUCCUCUUUUUCUUUCUCUAUUUCAUUUCUCUGUCUCAAGAUUUCACCAGCCUUUUCCUCAAGAAGCUUUUUCUCAUCAUCCAUUGAUCUUUUACUCAUCUCUUCUUUUUCUUUUUGUUCUGUCAUGUUCAUCUCCAGGUCAUCAGCUCGUCUUUGCAAUUCUUCUUUUUCCUUUUCAAUGUUAUUUCUCUCUUUUUCCAGAUGGUCUUUCUCAGUCUUAAUCAGUUGAUUUUGCUCUUCUAUGUCAUCAAUAGUCUUUUCUAGUUCACUUUUCUUCCUCUUAUUUUCUUCCAUGGUAUUGGCACAUUGAUCCAUCAUUUGUUUAAGGUGGGACUCCCUUAUCUCCAUAUUUUCUUGCUCUCUUUUGAUCUCUUCUAAGACGUUUUUCAGAUUUUCAGCAUCAUUCUGCAUCUCAGAUUUUGUCUGGUCAACCAGUUUUCUUUCCUUUUGGAGUUUUUCUGCUUCAGUUUGGAUCACUUCUUGUUGUUCCACCAGCUUGGCUUUCGUGAUUUCCAGAUCUUUCGUUAACUUGUUAAUCAUGUUCCUGUUUUCACCAAUGUCUUCUUUUUCUCUUUGUAUUUCAUCUCUCAGUUGUGAAAGUUCUUCUUCCUGCUUUGCAAUAGUCUUCAUGUCCUCUUGCAUUCUUUGUCUCUGAGCUUCUAGUUCAGUCCUCAACUUAUCCAUUUCCCUUCUUUCUUCCGCUAUCUCUCUUACACUUUGAUCCAGUCUUUGCUGCUGCUCAGUAAUAUAUUUCUCUCUCUGCUCCAGCUCAGUCUUCUGAAUUAUCACUCUUUGUCUCAUUGAUUCUAUUUCAUCAUUUACCAUAUUUAUAUCAGCUUUCUCUUUUUCAGUUUGUUCUCUCUCAGUAAGAAGCUCUAUCUUAAUUUUUUCCAGUUUUUCUCUUUCUUUCUCUAGCUCUUCUAACUGGACUUGAACCUGAUCUUUCUGUUGUGUAGUCCAGAUCUGCAGAUCAUCUUUUUUCCGCUUCAUUUCUAUAUUUUCAUUGUCUAUUUCAUGCCGUAUCUUCUUAAGCAACUCAAAGUCCUUAUUGAUUUCUUGUUUUUGCAGUUCUAUAUCAACCUGCAUCUCUUCAAGGGCAUGUUGUCUCGUAUUGGUUUCCUCAUGAACUUUAUCUAAAUGUUCCUGUUCAGUGUGAAGCUGAGCAGCAAUUCCAUCUAAUUCUAUAUUUCUCUUCUCUACUUCCCUUUCCUUCCUCUGUAUGUUUAGCUCUUUUUCAUCAAGAGCAUUCUGCUUGUCUUGCAUGAGUUGCUUUUGUAGUUUAAUUGACUGAAUCUGAUGGUGUAUUUCAGCUUGCAUUUGUUCAACCUUGUCUCUUUCUUUGUUGGUCAUGUAUUUUGUGUUUUCCAUUUCUUCUUUGGCCUUCUGAAGUAUUUGCUUCUCUUCAUUCAUUUUUAUGAUGUUAAGCUGCAAUAUCUGUUUCUGCUGUUCAGUUUCAAAUCUCUGUUUUUCCAGAUCUUCUCUCUCUUUUUUGUUUUCCUCACUGGUUUGAUCAUUCUGUCGCUGCUGGUUGAGUACCUCGACUUGCCGUUCCUCAAUGCUUGAUUUUUCCAUAAUAAGUUUGUUCUUCAAAAUUUCAUUUUCAUUUUGCUUGUUCUUUAUCUCUGCUCUUAAAGCUUCUAGUUUGUUUCUUAACGUCAUCAAGUUAUCCCUCUCUUCCUCUGUUUCUUGUUUUUCACGAAGAAGUUCUUCCUUCAUCUCCUCAAGGGCCAGUCUGUCCUUUUGUAUCUGCUCAAUCUGGCCCAUCAUUUGUUUUUCCAAGUCUUUCUUUUCUUUGUCAAUAUCUGUCUUUUCUUUGUCAAUUUCUGUCUUUUCCUUUUCAAGCAUCACUUUUGUUUUCUCAAUUUCUUGCUUUUGUCUCUCCAUCUCCUUUAUCAUCUUAUCAAGAUCCCUCAUUUUCAUUUCAGUCUCUUCAGACAAACAUUUAAUUUCUUCUCUGUCUUUAUCUAGUUGAACUUUAAUUUCUCUUUCUUUCUCCUUUAGGUUGGUGUCUAUUAUUAUCAUUUUAUCUGUUUGUAUCUUUAUCUCAGCUUUUGUCUUUUCAAGAUUAAAUUUAUCAUCUUGAAGUCGUUGAUUAUCCUUUUCGAUUUCUACUUUUGUUCUCUCCAGGUCAACCCUCAUUUGCAAUAAUUCUUCCAUUUCUUUAUCAUUAUUUUCUUUCUUACUUUUAAUGUCAUCUCUAAUUAUUUGCAACUCACUGUGAAGUUUGUUAGUUUCUUCCCUCUGUCUCUCUAAUUGUCUGAUUUCUUCCUCCACUCUUUGCUUUUCACCCUCAAUUUCCAGCCAGCAUUUCUCUUGAUCCUUUCUUUCCUUCUUGAUAACAUUUUGGAUCUCUUUGGAUUCUGCUCUUAUUUGUUCUAGUGCAUUCUUCUCAUCUUGUACAUUCAGUUUCUCAUGUCUUAGAUUUUGUAAUUGCUUCUCCAGAUCAUUUUUCAUGCUUUCAAGUUCAGCCUUCUCUUGAUCCAUCAACUUUUUGCUGAUUUCAAGCUGCUCUUUUUCUUUCUGUAUUUCUUCAGUCAGCUUUCGGUAUUCAUUGCAUUCUCUUGUAAUUGUUUCAUCCAUUUCCAUUAAUCGCUGUCUCUCCUCUUGAAUUUCGGCCUCCUUUCUUUCCAAAUUACUUUGAAUCUCCUUCUUGAUUUUAUACAUUUCAUCUUGAAUCUGUUUUAGCUGCUGCUGCUCUUCCAUGAAAGUUUUUACUUUGUUUUCAAGCUCACUUUCCUUUCUUUGCAGUUCUUCUCGAAGUGUAUCCAGUUUCUGUUUUUCUGAAUGUACAGUUUUCUUCUCUUUGUCAACAUCAUCUCUUUCCUUCAGAAUAUCCACCUCCAUUUGCUCUAGAGCCUCUUUGUGAUUUUGAAUCUCUUGUUUCGCCAUCUCAUCUUGUUCUUUCUGCUGUAAGGCUUUUCUUUCCAGGUCCUCUGUUUCUCUCACUAACACUUCCCUCUUAAGCUGCAGAUAUGUCAUUUCCCUUUCAUAAACAUCUCUGUCGUUUUUCAGUUGUAUCUUAUCAUCUUGAAGUUUUGCACUCAUUAUACUGAGAUCUUUCUUCUUGGUCUCUAUUUCGGUGAUGAUAUUCUCUAUAUCUUCUCUUUGUGUUUGAAGUUUUAAACUGAGGUCUGUUAAUCUGUCCCUCUCGUUGUUUGCUUCCUGAAUGAGUCUGUCAGUGAUCUCUGACUUCUUCUGAAGCUCAGCAUUCUCUUGUUCAAUCAAAUGUCUCUCUGUGCUGACCAUCUGCUUCAUUUCUUCCACUUGCUCUUUUUCUUUGUUUAGUUCACUCUUCAUCUCCUGUAGUUUCUCCUCCAUUUUUGUAGCAUCAUGGAGUUUUUCAUCAAGUUUAGCCCUCUCGUUUUCUAGUUCAUUCCUCGUCUUUUCUAGAUUUUUCAGUUCCACAUCGUAAGCCUUCAUGGCAGCACUCACUUCAUGCCUUUGUUGAUUGAUUUCAGCUUGUUCAUCUUUGAACCAAUCCUUCUCCAUGAUCAAAGCAUGUUUUGAAGAUUCAACAUCAACUCUCUGUCUGUGUAGUUCACUUCUAGAGAGUUCCAGUUCUUGCUUCUCUUGCCUUAAAUUGUCCAUUUCUUUUUCUAUAUCUUCUUGCUUCCUCAGUAUUUCCAUGUUGAUCUUUUCAAGUGUAUCUUUCUUUUUCUCCAUUUCUUCAACAAUCCAACUUUUCUCUUCCAACUCAUGUUUCUGCUUCUCCAGUAUCCGCUCUCCCCUCUUUACUUCAGAAGUAAUGCCUUCCAGUUCAGCCUUUUUCUUUUCAUGCAGGGUUUUCAUGUCUUCCAUGGUUUGCCAUUGGUUUUGUAUGUCUCUGUUGAGCUGUUCCAGAUCACGCUUGUUUCUCAAGAGUUCCUUAGUGACCAUUUGCAGUUCUUCCUUGUUCUUUCUUGUAUCCUUAAACUCUUCCAUUAUUUCUUUAGCUAUUUCUACCUUAACCAGCUCUCUUUUGGUCUCCACAUCCUCCUUUUCUCUGUUUAUCUCAUCCUUCAACUGCUCCAGUUCUUCUUUUUCUUUCUGCAGCAUUUCUCUCAUGUUCUCUUCCACCUGUUGCUUUUCUGCAAGUUCUGCUCUCAUCUUCUCCAAUUCAUUCUUAUCUCUUCUGGUGGUUUCUAUCUCUUUUCUAAGGCUUCCAAGAUUUUCCCGUAUUUGUCCAAUAUCUUGAAUGAGCCUCUGGAUCUCAGACUUGAAGUUUUCCUUUUCAUCUCUCACCAACUUACUUUCCUCCAUCCUGCUCUCCAUGUCAACUUUAAGAUUUCUCACCAUUUCCCUGAUUUUUACAACCUCUAAAAUUAGUCUUUGGAUGUCAGCAUUGGUGCUUUCCUCAUCUUCUAGAUUCACAGUUUUCUCCACCAAUAGCUCAAAAUCCUCUCUUGCACAUUGAACAUCAUUUCUGAGUAUUUCCAGCUCCUGCCGCUCUCUGUUGAUCUCCUCUCUUUCCUUUGCUAUCUCAGUCUUCAUUUUCUCCACCUCAUCCCUCUUUCUUAUCACUUGUUUCAUCUUCUGGUCCAGAUCUUUCUUUUCUAGGAAUAUUUCAGACCUUAAGACUUCCAGUUCUCCCUUCUCAUGCAUCAUUUUCUGAAUCCUUGUUUCUAGGACUUCUCUCUGGCUCUGUAUAUCCAUCAGCUCCACCUCUCUAGUGUCCUUUUCAUGUUGUAAUAUCUCAGACCUCAUGUUUUCUAGCUCAUCCAUCUGAUGUUUUAAGCCUGCUUUAGUUUUCUGAAGUUCUACCUGCUGUUUAUCCAGCUCAGCCUUCAACUCUGUUAGUUUGUCUAUUUGUCUGUUAAUUUCAUCUGUCUGACUCUCACUCUCUUCUUGCUGGUCAUCCAUGCUUAAUGAUUCCAUUUUCUUCCUUAAUUCCUCUGAAUCUCUCCUCAUUUCUUUCUCUUUUCUGGAAUGUUUAACUGUUUGUACUGUGUUUUCUCUAGUUGUUUCUUCUAGAAGGUUUUUGAGAAUUUCAUAUUGCUGCUUCAUGUCAACGAUUUCUUUGUUCAGAAGUUCAUUUUCGUCAUGAAGUUUUUGUUUGUCCAAUGCCAUUUCUUGUUUUUGUCUCUCCAAAUCAGCUCUGUUUUGCUCAAGAUCACUUCGCUCUUUGCUCAACAAGUCUUUGGUACUCUCAAUUUGCUGCUUCUCUUUUUGUAUCUCCUUGUUCUGUUGCUCAUAGGUUUCCUUCAUGCUAUGUUUCAUGGCUUCGACUUCCAGCCUCAUGUUCUCCAGUUCAAAUCGUUCAUUUCUAGCAGCCUUGACUUCAUCUUUCAUUCUUCUGAGAACCUCUCUGACAUGUUCAAUUUCCUGGAUCAGCCUCUGCAUGUAAGCACUCAUUUCUUGCCUUUCCUCUGAAUCCGCUUGAACAUUAACAUCUCUCUGCAUGCUUCUUUCCAGGUCAUGUUUUGUUCUCCAGGCCAUUUCCCUAGUCUUUUCAGCCUCUUGAAUAAGCCUCAGUAUCUUGGUGUUUAUUUGUUCUUUCUCUUCCAGAUCUCCACCUCUUUCUUCCGUAUGAGAUAGUAGUUCCUCUCCUGCUCGUUGUUUCUCAGCUUUCAUUCGCUCCAUGUCCUCACGCUCUAUACUUAACAUGACUCUGUCCAUUUCCAGUUUCUCAUUUGCACUUUCAAUAUCAGCUCUCAUUUUCUCCAGCUCAUCUCUCUUUCUCGCUGCCUGUCUCAUCUUGUGAUCAAGAUCUUUCCUCAUGCUAUCAGUUUCAUCCUGAAGAAGCUUCAAUUCUUUCAUCUCAUGUUUAGUCUUUUGCAUCUUGUCCUCUAAUUCAUCUUUCUGUUUGAGUAUUUCAGCUCUCAUACCAAUGAGUUCCUCUACUUGUGAUUGUCUUUUAGUCUCAAACUCUUCUUUUUGGAUUAAAAUAUUUGAUUUGAUCUCCUCAUAUUUCUCCAUUUCUUUUGUAGCCUCUCUCAACAUUUCAUCAUUUGCUUUUCUUUCUUUUGCUAACUUAGCUUUCAUUUGCUCUAGUUGAAUUCUUUCAUCUUGAAUAUCCUGUUUUUGAACUUUUAUCUCCUCUAAUUCUUUAUGUAGAUUUGAUUUAUUUUGUUCCAUAUCAUCUAUGUCUCGUUUCAGUUGCGUUCUGCUUUUCUCAGUCAAUUCCUUUUCAUCCAAAAGCUCUUUCCUCAGCUGUUCCACAUUUUCAAUGUCUUUCUUUAGUGUCUCCAUCAGCUGACGCUGCUCUAACAGUUCACCUCUUUCUCUCUCCAGGUCAUGUUUUUGCUUUAAGAUCUCCACACUUAUCUGAUCAAGACUAUCUCGCUUUUUCUGCAGGUCUGCACGUUUGAUGUCACUCUCCUCGGAUUGUCUUUUGAAAUCUUCCUUGGUUUUUUCCAGAUCCAUCUUUUCCUUUGUAACAAUUGCUUUGUCUACAGCAAUGGCUUGUUUUUGUCUUUGUAUCUCAGCUUGUAUUUCAUCCAGGGUGUCAUUUUUCAUUUUGAUCUCCUUAACAAAUUGUUGUCUCUCUUUUUCUAACUCUUCUGCAGUCCUCUGACCUUCUUUCUGAACUUCUAGCUUUAACUUCUUAAUAUCCUCUCUCUUCUUUUCCAGCUCAUCUUGUUCAUUUUUAAAAGCUUGUUUCAUAUUUUGGAGGUUUUCCAAGUCUCUAGCCAACUCGGCUCUCUUUUGUUCCAGAUUCUCAAAAUCAUCCUUUUCUUUUAUUAUGUUGCUUUUCAUGUCAUCCAUUUCUUUUUGUUUAUUUUGAAGUUCUGUUCUCAUUUGUUCUAGUUCACUCUCUUUGUGUUGUAAUUGUUCCUUCUCAUCUUCAAUUUGAGCUAUUUGUCUCAAGUUAUCUGUACUCAUUUGCUUCAGAAUGUCUUUAUCUGUCUGUAAGUCAGUUCUUUGUCUGUCUAGUUCUUCCAUGGCUUGGUUUAUCUCUGCCUUGGUUUUCUCCAGCUCAGAUCUUUCUUCUUGAAGCAAGUCUUUGGCAGACUGAAUAUCCUUUCUUUGUUUCUCUGUCUCAUCCAUGAGCUCUUCCGCCUGUUGGUAGUCCGCUGGAAUACCACUGACGUCUAAUUGCUUUUUAAAUUUGGCUGCCAUCUCUUCUGCCCUCCAUCUUUCAUUCUUUGUCUUCUCAGAUAGUUUCUCCAAGUCUUCAGCUUGUCUUUGAAGGUCGCUUUUCAUCCUCUCUAGUUCCUCCUUCUCAUUUUCAAAGGUGUGUUUCUCAACUUUUAGAUUCUUUAAUUCUUUCUCCAUAUCCAUUUUUUGCCUCUCCAUAAGAUCCAAAUUUUUGGUCAACACCUCUCUGUCUUUUUCAACCUGAUCCUUUUCCUCCAGUAAUUUUAGUCUCAGUUGUUCACAGGUCUCCUUUUCUUCCUCUAGACUGACCAUCUCUCUCUCUACAUUUCUCUUCUGUGCCAUCAUUUCCACUCUGUCUCUUUCUACGUUGGUCAUUUCUGUCUUUGUGAAUUCCAUUAGAUCAUCAACCUCUCGCUGUAAUAGAUCAACGUCAGUUUGUCUCUGGUCCAGUUGACUCAUUUCCAUCAUAAUUGUGUUUUUCAGUUCAUCCAUUUCAUCCUGUUGUUGUAAAAUGGUUUCCUGCAGCUUUGCAAGUUCACUUUCUCUGCGAGAAAGGCUUUCAUUCGCUUUUUGAAUAGUAUCCACUUGUUUCGAGAUGUUCGCCCUCAUUUCUUCAAGAGCGUCUCUCUCUGUCCGCAUCUCUUUUAUUGACAUCUCAUUCCUUUCUUGCUGUUCUGCAAGAAGUUUGUUGGCUUUAGCAAUUUCUGUUUUGAUUUUCUCUAAAUCAGUCUUCUCCAUUUCAAACUCAGUUGCUUGCUUUUGUUGAUUACAUUUUUGGAUAUUAAUCUCCUCAUUAAGGCUUUCAAGAUUUCUUCUCUCUUCCUGAAGUUGAGCUGACAUUUCUUCUAGCUUCUGUCUUUCAUUGUGCAUGUCCUGCUUUUCCUUUUCAAUGUGUUCAGCUUCCCUUUUCAGUUCAGCUCUCAUCUGUUCCAGUUUGUCCUUUUCAUCUUGAAUAAACGUCUUCUCUAACAUCAUCUCCUGUUUAUGAGGUAAAUCCUCAGCCUCAGGUAAGUCUGACUUUUGGCUCUCAACAUCUGUUUCUAAUGCAUCUUUUAAGUCCAUUUCCAGCAUCUGCUCCAUCAAGACACAUUUCCCAUCUGAAUCUGACAUUUCUUUGUCUGUUAAGGAUUUGACUGCAUCCACGUCACUCUUUUGAAGAAACAUUUUAGCCUCUGACUUCUCAAGUAGACUCUCUUCUGUUAUGCCAAAUCUCAGGUGAUCAAUAUUUUCUUGUUUUCUUUUGAUGUCUGCCCGCAUUCUUUCAAGAUCUUCCUUUUCUAUUUGCAACUCUUGCUUUUCAUCUUCAAGUGCCAUUUUUUCUCUUCUUAUAUUCCCAAUCAUCUGUUCAAGCAUGUUUCUCUCUUCAUGCAUCUCUGCCAGUGUGAUCUCAAUGUUUGUUUUUUGUUCAGAAAGCUGUUUUUCAAGCUCUUCCUUGGUUUGAGACAUCUCAGCUUUGGUUUUCUCUAGGUCAGACCGUUCCCUUCUAAUCAAGUCUUUGCCUCUCACCAUUGCUUCUUGUUCCCUUUGUAUUUCAGUAUAGCUUUCAUCCAGAAUACCUCCCUUCUUUUUAAUUUCCUCCAUGAGAUCACUGAUUUCUUUCCUCUCUUUCUGGAGUUGAGCUGUCAUUUCCUCCAGUUUUUGUCUUUCAUCUUGUGUUUUUAAUUUGAUCUUCUCGAACUCUUGUGUCUCUCUUUGCAGGUCAGUUUUGAUCUUUUUUAUUACUUCCUUCUCAUUCUCCAAAGCUUCUCUCUCAUGUUUCAGACUCUCUGAGUCUCUGUCUACAUUAACUAGUUUUUGUUGCAGAUCUUCCAUGUCUCUCUUCAGCAGUUGUUUUUCAUUUUUCAGUAUUUCCUGAUUAGUCAAUACCUCCUUCAUCUGAAGCUCAACAUCUUCAGACUUCUUUCUCAGCUCAGUCAUCAUGUCCUGUUUUUCUCUGAUCAUUGCAGCUUUUUGAGUUUCAGCAAUGCUCUUUUCAUUCUUUGCGAUCUCCACAAUGUCAUGCAGCUCCUUCUGUUGUAUUUCUAUUUCAGUCUCUCUGAGAUCAAGCUGCUGCUUCUCAGUCAUGAUGAUUUCUUUGAGGUUUUUCAAUUCACAUUGUUGUUUUUGAUUCUCUGCUUGUAGUUGCUCUAGUUCAUCUUGUCUGAUUUUAUUUUGUCUUUCUCAUUUUCAAGAUCAUCAAUUUGUUUGGAGAUGUUCAGUCUCAUUUCCUUAAGGUUGUUUUUCUCUCUUUGUAGAUCUGCCAUUGAAGACUCACUUGCAGCUUUCAUUUCAUCCAGAAUCUCAUGUUUUCUCUUUGUAUCUUCAGCAAGAUGAACAAUAUUUUCUUUCUCUUUCUCAAGUUCUUCAGCCAUCUUUUCCAAACUCUGUCUCUCAUUUUGUGUUUCUUCUUUGAGCUUUCUGAUAUCAUCAGCUUCUCUUUGCAGAUCAAUCUUCAUCUGUUCUAACUUGUUCUUCUCAUCUUCAGUCACUUGUUUUUGAAGUGUCAUGAUCUUUAGGUCUUCAGUCAGAUCUUUUCUACUUUGGUCUACAUCAUCUCUUUCUUUCUUCAGUUGCUGUUUCUGUUUUUCAAUCUCUUUGUUUUAUCUUUAUCUAGUUGGCUUCUCUCAUUUCUCAUUUUUUCCAUAAUGUCACUCACUUCUGUCUGUUGUUUGUCUAGCUCAGACUGUCUCAGAUCAAGCUGACUUCUGUCUUUUAUUAUAAUAUUUCUGUCAUUGUCUAGUUCCUGUUUCUGAUUCUGAAUUUCAGUUUUCAGUUGUUCGAGUUCAUGUUGUUUUUGUCUUAUUUGUUCCUCUUGAUUUUUAAUUUCAUGUAUUUGUCUUGUGAUGGUCUCAUUCAUCUCCUUUAGGUUGUCUCUCUCUUUCUGUAUCUCUGCCUGUAUGAUUUCUUUCUCUUCUGCUUGCUCAGCAAAUAGUUUUUCAAGAUCUUCUUUGAUUUUAGCAAUUUCAUGUUUGGUUUUCUCCAAUUCAUGUUUUUCCUUUUCAAUCAUGUCUCUAUCAGAUUGAAUGGCUUUAGUUUUCACUUCAAUUUCUGUGUUCAUUUCAUCCAAGACCAUGUCUCUUCUUUUGGUCUUCUCAAAGAGGCUUUCAGUUUCUUCUCUCUCUUUCUGGAGUUGAGCUGUCAUUUCCUCCAGUUUUUGUCUUUCGUCUUGUGUUUGUAGUUUGAUCUUCUCGAACUCUUGUGUCUCUCUUUGCAGGUCAGUUUUGAUCUUUUUUAUUACUUCCUUCUCAUUCUCCAAAGCUUCUCUCUCAUGUUUCAGACUCUCUGAGUCUCUGUCUACAUUAACUAGUUUUUGUUGCAGAUCUUCCAUGUCCCUCUUCAGCAGUUGUUUGUCGUUUUUCAAUAUUUCCUGUUCAGUCAAUAGCUCCUUCAUCUGAAGCUCAACAUCUUCAGACUUCUUUCUCAGCUCAGUCAUCAUGUCCUGUUUUUCCCGGAUCACUGCAACUCUUUCACUUUCAAUGUUGUUCUUUUCCUUUUUCAUUUCAUUUUGUUGUUUAUGAAUCUCUGCUUGUAGUUGCUCUAGUUCAUCUUGUCUCAGUCUUAUUUUCUGUUUGUCAUUUUCAAGAUCAUCAAUUUGUUUUGGAGAUGUUCAAUCUCAUUUGCUCAAGGUUGUUUUUCUCUCUUUGUAGAUCUGCCAUUGAAGACUCACUUGCAGCUUUCAUUUCAUCCAGAAUCUCAUGUUUUCUCUUUGUAUCUUCAGCAAGAUGAACAAUAUCUUCUUUCUCUUUCUUAAGUUCUUCAGCCAUCUUUUCUAAACUCUGUCUCUCAUUUUGUGUUUCUUCUUUGAGCUUUCUGAUAUCAUCAGCUUCUCUUUGCAGCUCAGUCUUCAUCUGUUCUAACUUGUUCUUCUCAUCUUCAGUCACUUGUUUCUGAAGUGUCAUCAUCUUUAUGUCUUCAGUCAGAUCUUUUCUACUUUGGUCUACAUCAUCUCUUUCUUUCCUCAGUUGCUGUUUCUGUUCUUCCAUCUUUUGUUUUUCUUCAUCUAGUUGGCUUCUCUCAUUUCUCAUUUUUUCCAUAAUGUCACUCACUUCUGUCUGUUGUUUGUCUAGCUCAGACUGUCUCAGAUCAAGCUGACUUCUGUCUUUUAUUAUAAGGUUUCUGUCAUUGUAUAGUUCCUGUUUCUGAUUCUGAAUUUCAGUUUUCAGUUGUUCGAGUUCAUGUUGUUUUUGUCUCAUUUGUUCCUCUUGAUUUUUCAUAUCAUGUGUUUGUCUUGUGAUGGUCUCCUUCUUCUCCUCUAGGUUGUCUCUCUCUUUCUGUAUCUCUGCUAGUAUGAUUCCUUGCUGUUCUCUUUCUUUUUCUAGAUCCUCCUUUGCUUUAGCAAGUUCAUGUUUCAUUUUCUCGAGAUCAUGCAUUUCCUUCUCAAUCAUGUCUCUAUCAGAUUUGAAUUUCUUUCAUUUUAACUUGAAUUUCUUUGUUCUUUCCUUUGGUCUCCUCAAUAAGAUCAUUGAUUUCUUUUCCUCUCUUUCUGGAGUUGAGCUGUCAUUUCCUCCAGUUUUUGUCUUUCAUUUGUGUUUGUAGUUUGAUCUUCUCGAACUCUUGUGUCUCUCUUUGCAGGUCAGUUUUGAUCUUUUUUAUUACUUCCUUUUCAUUCUCCAAAGCUUCUCUCUCAUGUUUCAGACUCUCUGAGUCUCUGUCUACAUUAACUAGUUUUUGUUGCAGAUCUUCAUGUUUCUCUUCAGCAGUUGUGUAUCAUUUUUCAAUAUUUCCUUUUCAGUCAAUAUCUGCUUCAUCUGAAAGCUCAACAUCUUCAGACUUCUUUCUCAGCUCAGUCAUCAUGUCCUGUUUUUCUCUGAUCAUUGCAGCUUUUUGAGUUUCAGCAAUGCUCUUCUCAUUCUUUGCGAUCUCCACAAUGUCAUGCAGCUCCUUCUGUUGUUUUUCUAUUUCAGUCUCUCUGAGAUCAAGCUGCUGCUUCUCAGUCAUGAUGAUUUCUUUGAGGUUUUUCAUUUCACUUUGUUGUUUUUGAUUCUCUGCUUGUAGUUGCUCUAGUUCAUCUUGUGUGAGUCUAAUUUUCUCUUUCUCAUUUUCAAGAUCAUCAAUUUGUUUAGAGAUGUUCAAUCUCAUUUCCUCAAGGUUGUUUUUCUCUCUUUGUAGAUCUGCCAUUGAAGACUCACUUGCAGCUUUCAUUUCAUCCAGAAUCUCAUGUUUUCUCUUUGUAUCUUCAGCGAGAUGAACAAUAUCUUUCUUUCUCUUUCUCAAGUUCUUCAGCCAUCUUUUCUAAAUUCUGUCUCUCAUUUUGUGUUUCUUUUUUGAGCUUUCUGAUAUAUCAGCUUCUAUUUGCAGCUCAAUCUUCAUCUGUUCUAACUUGUUUUUCUCAUCUUCAGUCACUUGUUUCUGAAGUGCCAUCAUCUUUAGUUCUUCAGUCAGAUCCUUUCUUCGUUGGUCUUCAUCAUCUCUUUCUUUCUUCAGUUGCUGUUUCUGUUUUUCAAUCUCUUCUUUGUCUUUAUCUAGUUGGCUUCUCGCAUUUCUCAUUUUGUCCAUAAUGUGACUCACUUCUGUCUGUUGUUUGUCUAGCUCAGACUGUCUCAGAUCAAGCUGACUUCUGUCUUUUAUUAUAAUAUUUCUGUCAUUGUCUAGUUCCUGUUUCUGAUUCUGAAUUUCAGUUUUCAAUUGUUCGAGUUCAUGUUGUUUUUGUCUCAUUUGUUCCUCUUGAUUUUUCAAAUAACGUGUUUGUCUUGUGAUGGUCUCCUUCUUCUCCUCUAGGUUGUCUUUCUCUUUCUGAAUCUCUGCUAGUAUGAUUCCUUGCUUUUCUCUUUCUUUUUCAAGAUCCUCCUUUGCUUUAGCAAGUUUCCUUUUGAUUUUCUCAAGAUCGUGCAUUUCAUUCUCAAUCAUGUCUCUAUCAAAUUGAAUUUCUUUCAUUUUAACUUGAAUUUCUUUGUUCAUUUCAUCCAAGACCAUAUCUUUCACUUUUUUCUUCUCAGUAAGAUCAUUGAUUUCUUCUCUCACUUUCUGGAGUUGAGCUGUCAUUUCCUCCAGUUUUUGUCUUUCAUCUUGUGUUUGUAGUUUGAUCUUCUCGAACUCUUGUGUCUCUCUUUGCAGGUCAGUUUUGAUCUUUUUUAUUACUUCCUUCUCAUUCUCCAAAGCUUCUCUCUCAUGUUUCAGACUCUCUGAGUCUCUGUCUACAUUAAUUAUUUUUUGUUGCAGAUCUUCCUUGUCUCUCUUUAACAGUUGUCUAUCAUUUUCCAACAUUUCCCUUUCAGUCAAUAUCUGCUUCAUCUGAAGCUCAACAUCUUCAGACUUCUUUCUCAGCUCAGACAUCAGGUCCUGUUUUUCCCUGAUCUCUUUUUGCAGAUUUUCUAAUGUGGACUCAUGUAAUACUUUCAUUUCAUCAAGAAUCUCAUUCUUUCUCUUUGUAUCUUCAGCAAGAUGAACAAUAUCUUCUUUCUCCUUCUGAAGUUUUUCAGCCAUCUUUUCCAAACUCUGUCUCUCAUUUUGUGUUUCUUCUUUUAGCCUUCUCAUAUCUUCAGUUUGUCUUUGCAGCUCAAUCUUCAUCUGUUCUACGUCAUCCUUCUCAUUUCGAAUAGCUUUUUUAUGAUAUUGAAGCUCCUUUAUCUCUCUGUCUAGGGCUGCUCUUUUUUCAUUUAUGUCAUUAUUCAGUUCUGCCUUCAAGAGCUCCAGUUCAGUCUCCAUUUGGUGUUUCUGUGUUAGCAUUUCAGACUUCUCUUUUUCAAUAUAAGCCCUUUCUCCUGUUGUAAAUGCCAUGACUUCAUUUACCUUUCUCUGUUUUUGAUCUAUUUCAGUUUUCUUCUUUUCAAGUCUGUCUUUUUCCAUUGUGAGAGCUUUUCGUGAGGCUUCCAUUUCAUCUUGCUGCCUAUAAAUUAGAGCUUGGAGUUGUUCAAGUUCAGUCUGUCUCAUACUCAUUUGUUGUUUCUCAUUUGCAAUGUUGUCCUGUUGCUCUGAAAUACUAUCUCUCAGUAAAAGAAGCAUGUCUUUUUCUUUCUGUAUUUCUGCUAGUGUGAUCUUGUUCUUUUCUCUUUCUUCAACGAGCUGGGUUUCAAGAUCCUCCUUCGCUCUUGCUAUAUCUGUCAUCACCUUCUGCUCAUCUAUCUCUGUUUGCUCUUUCUGAAUUUCCAUUUUUAGACUUUGCAGCUCCGCUUGUUGGUAUCUUGUUUGUUCAAUGUCGUUUUCUAGAUCAUCUCUCUGUUGUGAUAUGUUCAUCCUUAACUGCUCAAGAAUGUGUUUCUCCUUCUGUAUCUCUGCCAGUGUUAGCUCAUUUUGUCUUUUAUGUGAUUCAAUUUGGUUCUCAAGAUCUUCUUUGGCUCUGGCUAUCUCUGCUUUAGUUUUCUCCAGGUCAGAUUUGUCCUUUUUAAGAGUGUCUCUAUCAGAUUCAAUUGUUUGUUUUUGUUUUCUUAGAUCUCCUUCCUCUGAUCUUAUUCUGGCAAAAGAAAUCUCUAUAUCUUCCUUCUCUUUUUGAAGGAUGAUCGCCAUUUCCUCAGCCUUCUGCCUGCCAUUUUCUAUGUCUUGCCUUAGUUUAGCAAUAAUUUCCUUUUCUUGUUGGAACUCAUUUUUCAUCUUAUCAAAUUCCUGCUUUUCUUUGCCAGUCAAUUGUUUCUGGUAGUUUAAGGUCUCAAACUCCUCAGCUAAGAUGGUUCUAUUUUCUUUUAUAUCCUCCAGAUCUUUGUUCAGUAUUUGCCUGCUGUUUUCAAUAGAUUCUUUUUCGUGGAGAACUUCUUGCUUCAUCAGCUCCACUGUUUCACUUUCCCUCUUCAGUUCUACUGCAAUGCCAUUCACUCUUUGUCUUUCUUCCAUUACAUUAGUCCUCUCUUUUUCAAGUCUGUCCAUCACACUCUCUAAUUCUCUCUUUUGCUUUUCCAUUUCAGCCUGUCUUUCAUUAAGCUGACUCUUUUCUUUCAUGAUAACAUCCUGAAUCUCUUCUAUUUCUUUCUGUUGUGCAUGAAGUUGUGAUGUUUGUAUAUUCAGGUCAUUUUCUUGGUGUCUCAAACUUUCCUUCACUAUUUUAAUACCAUGUUCCUCUUGUGAAAUGUUCAUCUUCAUUUGCUCAAGGGAAUUUCUCUGCUUCUCCAUCUCUAACCGAUCAAUAUCAUUCAUUUUUCUCUUUUCAGCAAGAUCGUCUUUUGCUCUCGCUAUGUCUCUUUUGCUUUUCUCCACUUCAAACUUCUGGUUUUCUAAUACAUCUUUUUCAGUCUCAAUGUCUUGCUUUUGUUUUUCUAGCUCAAGGCGCAUCCUCUCUAGAGCUUCUUUUCUGUAAUUUCCCUCAUGUUGAAUUUGAGCUGCCAUGUCUUUUAUACUCUGCUUUUCAGCUACCACCUCUUUCUUUAGUCUCUCAGUAUUGUCAGCCUCUUUCUGAAGGUCAGCUCUUAUCUGCUGUAUCUCUUUCUCAAACGAUUGCCUCUGAAACUGCAAGUUUUCAAAUUCUUUGUGCAGUUUGGCUUUAUUUUUCUCUAUGUCUUCCUCAUCCAUUUCUAGUGAUUUCAUCCGGCUUUCAAAUACUUCUUUUUGCUCAAUUAAAUAUCUCUUUUGGAGCUCCACAUUUUCAUAUGCCACCCUCAGUUCUUCUCUCAAAUUCUCCAUUUCCUGUCUCUCUUUCUCCAGAUCUGUCGCGUCUCUAUCUCUUGCAGUCUUAACGUAUUCUAUUUUUUCAUGUGCAACUGUCCAUUGUUGAUCUUGGUCAGCUUGCAUCUGCUCAACUUGCAUCUUUUCCAUUCUUAAACUGCUCUUUAACUCAUCUAUUUGUUUUUGUUUGUUUUCAACCUCUGCUUCUUUUUGUUUCAGUUCAUUUUCUCUCUGUCUUAAAUUUUCUUUAUCACUUUCAACGAUGCACCUUUGAUUUGAGAUGGUUUCACUCAUCUGGGUAAGAUUGUCUCUUUCUUUCUCUAUAUCUGCCAGUAUAAUAAUGUUCUGUUCUUUUUGCUGAGCAAAUUCAUCUUUGAGAUCUCUGAGCUUAGACUUUUCCUGUUCUAGCACAUCUCUCUCAGACUCAACAUAUCGCUUUUCUUUUUCAACCUCCAUGUGCAUCUCAUCCAGAGCUUUGGACCUCUUUUCAAUCUCUUCACCUAGACUAUCAGUGUAUUGUCUUUCUUUCUGAAUUUUGGCUUCUAUAUCUUUUACGUUUUGUAUGUCAUUCUGAACAGCUUGUCUUACAUUUUCAAUGACACCGGCUUCUUUUUGCAGAUCAGCUUUCAUGCCCUUCAAUAUCUCAAAUGCAUUUUCCUGCUUUUCUACAUCAGCUUUCAUUUUAUCCAGUUCCUCUAUCUGUCUUUUUGUCUCUUCUGAAAGGCUCACAAUGGCAUCUCUCUCUUUCUGAAGUUGCACAGCGGUGUUUUUAAGCUUCUGUCUUUCAGCUAGUGUAUCUUGUCUUAGCUUCUCAGUAUCUUCAGCUACUUGUUGCAGCACAGAUUCAGUCUGUUGCAACUUGCUUUUCUCUUCUGCAAUACUUUGUCUUUGUAAUUUUAUCUCCUCUGCCUGACUACCCAAAUUGAUUUUCUUCUGCUCCAGAUCUUCUAUAUCUCUCAGUAAAACUAUUCUGCAGUCCUCAAUAAGUCGCUUCUCAUUUAGUACCUCUAUUUUCACAAGCUCCACAGUUUCUAGUUCUCUGUUUAAUGUAUCUGUCAAGUUACUCUCCAUCUGCUGCUUCUGUUCCAUUAUAGCUGCCCUUUCUCUGUCAAGAUUGCCUUUUUCAUUUUGUGUGAACUGCCUGAUGGCUUCCGCCUGUUUUAGCUUUUCGGCUAUUUCAUCAUGGCUUUUCUGAAGUUGACUUUUUUGCAUUAAAACUAUAUUCUGAAUAUCCUGCACUUCUUUUUGUUGUCUGUUAAGAUCAGCCUGCAUUUGCUGCAGUUCAUUUUCUCUCUGCUUUAUUUCCUCCUUCUCAUUCUCAAAAUCAUCUUUUUGCUGUAAAAUGAGUACAUUUAUUUUCUCAAGUGUGUCUCUCUCCUUUUUGAUCUCCUUCAGUGUCCGCUCAUUCUCCUCUCUCAGGUUCUCUAGAUCGUUCUUUUCUCUCGCUAUUUCUGCUUGUAUCUGUUGCAUAUCACACCUUUUCUUUUCUAGUUCCUCCCUCUCUUGUUUAAGCUGCUCUGCCCAUUUCUUCAUGUUCUGUCUUUCUUUCUGCACAUCCUGUUUUAACCUUUCGAUAUCACUAGACUCUUUUUGCAGCUCAUAUUUCAUGUUCUGUAACAUUCCCUUUUCAUCCUCUAUCCUUUUUCUCUGAGCUUCUAUGUCUUCUAGUUCUUUAGCAAAAGUGUCUUUUAGGUCGGCCUCCAUGGUUUGCUUUUGUUUUUCUAUAUCCUGUCGAAUGUGAUUUAGAACAUCUCUGGCAUUUUCUAAUUCUGUUCUUAUCAUGUAUUCUUUUUCUCUGCUUUCUGUAAUCUCAGCCUGCAGGUCAUCCCAUCCUUUCUGUAUUUCUAGCUUUGUCCUUUCCACCUCAUCUUUUGUUCGUUCUAGCUCCUGUUUUCGCAGCUCUAAUUGUAACUCUAUGUCUGCUGUGUUUUUUGUAGCAGUUUGCAGUGCGGCUUCUUUGAGUGAUAAUUCAUCCUUGCUCAGUUUUAUUUCUGCCAGUUGUCUCUCAAUUGUACUUUUUUGUGCAAGUAAGUCUUCUUUAAAAUUCUCCAGAGCUUGUCGCUCUUUAUCCAGCUCCUCCAUAGUCAAGCUCAUCUGAUAUUUUCCUACAUCCUCCAUCACAUCAGUUUGGACUUGUACAUCAACUUGUUUAAUCUCCAUCAAUCUUGCCUUUUCUAAUUCACAUUUCUCUCUCUGUAGAUUUACGUCCAUACUCUCUAGUUCUUGUUUUCUUUGAUCUAGCUGCUUCUUCUCUUUCCAUAUUAUAUCUAAACCUCUCCGGUUUUCUUCUCUCUCUGAUUGCAGCAGUCUUUCCCAGUUUUGUAGACCCACUCGUUUCUUUUCCAUCUCAAUUUCCAUCUCUUGUAAUUUUGUCAUCCUCUCUUCAGCUUCAUUCUUUAUCGCUCGUACAUCCUCCUUUGUUUUCUCUAGUUCAUGUUUCUCUUUUAAAAUUAUUUCUUUAUAUUGUUCCAGUUCUUGUCUUUCUUUCUGUAUAUCACUCACAAAGUCUUCCACUUUAAUGGCAGCUGCUUCUUCUGUUUUUGCAUACUCCUGGCUCUCGGUUGGAAUGAUGGCUGGUUGAACCUGAAAUAAAUGGUUCUUGUUUGCAUUUGCAUCUCUGUCCCAAUAUUUUUUUUAGAUAUACUAUGUAGGCAGUAUACAGUUAUUCUGAACACAGUUCAUGAUCAACUUACUUUUCACAAUCUUGAGUAAAAAUUCAGUUUAAAUCCCUUUUAGCAUUUUAUACAACUUGAAAUGUUGACCCUAUUUACUUUCUUAAUACGUGUGUAUAAUUCAUUGUCAAGUCUUUGUCUAAUUCUUUUUCUCUUGUUUCACUCAAGAUUGUCAUGUUUAACUGUAAUAAGUUGCAUCCUUGCAAAAUAGGUUACGGAUGCUUCAUGUUGACUUUAAGAGUCCAUUUGCUGCCGUCAAUAUUGAUAAAGCAGAUAAAAUAAUGACACUGUUCAAUGCAAGUAAAUUAUGACUUACCUUUUCUUUGCCUGUCUUUUCUAGAGCAGUGAGUUCUUUCUGUCUCUUUAUCUCUUCUUUGGCCUGUGCUAUGUCCUCCAAAGCAUUUUUCACAUCUUCUCUCAUCUGCUCCAUCAUAUCAUUCUCUUUAAUGGUCUCCUCCAGCCUCUCCUCCAGUUCUUGUCUUUGUCGCUGCACCAUAUUUCUCACGAGUUCUAGUUCAUCUCGUUCUCUCAUAAUCCUUUCUUCUCUAUAUUCAAUCUCUCUUCUCCUUCGUUGAACUUCAUUCUUCAAUAGCCUCAUCUCAUCCCUGUCUCUCUUCAUCGUUUCCUUGUUGUAUUCUACCUCAGCCUUAAGACCUCGCAGCAUUUCCCGGAUGUGUUCAAUCUCCAAAAUGAGCCUGUGCAUCUCAGCAUUCAUCUCCUCUUGGACUGUUGUCUCCAUCUGACUUCCUGCCAUUCGACUUUCAAUCUGGAAUUUUGCUUUCCGCACCAUUUCUCUCGUCCCCUCAAUCUGCUGAAUAAGACUGAUUAUUGUGAGGUUCAUCUGUCCUUUCUCUUCUUCUAAAUCUCUCUCCUCCAUCCUAAGUUCAAACUCCUCUCUCGCUCUUUGGAUUUCAGCUUUAACUUGCUCCAUUUCAUAUUUCUGCCUCUCCGUCUCCACUCUUUUCUGUUCCAUCUCAUCUUUUGCCCUUUGUAUCUCCAUCCUCAGUCGUUCCAUCUCAUCCUUCUUCCUCAUGGUCAGUUUCAUCCUUUGGUCAAGUUCUUUCUUCUUCCCUUCCAUUUCUCUCUUCAUCAGCUCCAUUUCUCCAAUCUCUCGUUUGGUUUUCUGCAUCCUUUCCUCCAGCUCUUCUCUUUGUCUUUGUAUUUCCUCUUUGACAAGCUGCAUUUUGUCCAUCUCUGCUUUUGCUAGCUCCAUUUUCCUUUCAACAUCCUCUUUUUGUUUUAAGAUCUCAGUCCUCAUCAGUUCCAUCUGGUAUCUCUCACUUUUUGCUUCCAUCAUCUGGAUUUCAAUAUCUUCUUUCUGUUUUUGGAGGUCUGCUCUCAUCUUUUCAAGAUGAGUCAUUUCCAGCCUUGCCUUCUCCAUCUUUACGUCGAUGUCCUCCUUCUGUUUUGUUAACUCCAUCUUCAUGUCUUCAAUAUCACCCAUCUCCUUCUUCAUAGCUUCCAUCUUCCUCAUCAUCUCCUCCUUCUCCCUGUUCAUCCUUUCACAUUCCUCAGGCUCUCCCUUUUCAGCCUCAUCCCACAACCUCUCUAUCUCCGCUCUCACCCUGUUAAUCUCAUCCUUGACCUCUUCAUAUGUGUCUUUCCCUCUCAGCGUUUCCAAACGGAUCUUCUCCAGAUCUUCUCUCUCGUCCUCCAUGUCCUCUCUCAUCUUCCUCAAGGUGUCCUCUCGUCGUUUUGUCUCCUCUAACCUUUUAUUCACUUCCUCUCUUUGUUCCUGGAUCUCAAUCAUAAGGCGUUCAGCUUUCACUCUAUCUUGUUGCGCUAACUCUCUGCUUCUGUUCAUGAUCUCUGUGUCCAGAAAUAGCUGAGUCUUGAUCUUCUCAAGUUCUUCUCUUUGUCUCUGCACUUGAGCACUCUGUUCUACAUCAUAUCUCAUCAUUUCAUACCUUUGUUUUUCUAGAUCUUUCUUGUCGUUCUGGACCUGAACUCUAAUCUGUUUGAGUUCCUCUCUCUCCUUGUCCAUCUCAGCUAAACGCUUUUCCUGAUCUUCCUUGUCCUUCAACGCAGCUGUUUUCAGUUGCUCAACAAUCUCUUUCUCUUGCUGUGUAUCCUCCAGCAUUUUCUGCAGGUUUUCUUUUUCAGAAUACCUCAACUUUUCUAGCUCAUGUCUGGCUCUUUGUAUCUCUUCAUUUAUUUGUUCUAACUCCUCUGUUUUUUUGUGUAUUUCAUCUCUUUGCUCCAAUGCCUCUGUUAUGGUUUCAUACCGUCUCUUUUCUGACUCUUCCAUUUGCUUUUUUAAGAGCAUCUCAGCCUCUUUGACUCCAAGUUUGGCAUGGUUUGCCUCCUCCUUUUCUUGUUUUGCAACUCUAAUCCUGUUCUCUAUUUCUGCCUUUUGUUUUUGUAGCUCAUUUCUCAUGCUUUUGAUUUCAUCUGCUUCUUCUUUAGCCUUUUCGCUGCUUUUAGUAAUCUCUCCUCGCUCUUUCUCCAUCUGUUCUAUCAUUUUUGUCAACUCCUCUCUCUUUGCUUUAGCCUCAUCCAUCUGUUUGAUAGCGGCAAGUUUGUCGUCUUCUGCCUGAAGCUUUAUUUUUUCAAGACUGUCCUUCCACUGCAUGAGCUCCAUCCUGCUCUCCUCAAUGUUUUUCUGCGAUCUUUGGACCUCGUCCCUUAAUUUUUCCAGUCUUUCCAUCUCAUGCUGAGUUUUCGCUCUGAGUUCAACUUCCUCUUUCUCUGUUUCAUGCCACCUGUUCUCCAUUUCCUCCUUCACCCUGAGGAUUUCACUUCUGAGGAACUCACACUGUUCGGUCUCUCUUUUCACCAAUUCUCUCUUUCGUUCCAGCUCCUCCCGCUCUUCCUCCAACUCAGCCUUUGUCUCCUCCAUUUGUUCUUUUGUUUUUUGGAUCUCCUCAAUUUUCUUCUCAAUAUCUUCAAUCUGUCCUUGAAUUUCAGUCUUCAUUUUUUCCAUUUUCUCAUUUUCCCGGAUUGUGACUUCUUGGCUGUUCUCAAUAUCCUCUUUGGCUCUGUCUAUCUCAUGUUUAAUUCUUUCUAACUCUUGUCUCUCCCUCAGCAUCUCCUCUUGUCUUCGGUUCAAGCUGUCUUUUUCAGCCUUGAUCUCUGCUUUGAUUAGUUCUGUCAUUUCUCUUUCUUGUCUGGCUUCUUCUCUUAUCUUAAAACUUUCUUCCUUCUCCUUCAGUAUCUUUGCUUUCUCCGUAUCGUUAGCCCUUUGUAUCUCUACUCUUAAACUCUCCACCUCGUCUCUCUCCCUCUGCAGUCGAGCUCUGUGCUCUAGCUCCUCUGUCACUAUCUCAUACCUCUUCUUCUCCAUUUCUUCUUUAGCUUUUCGUAUAUCAUCCUUCUGUUUUUCUAGAAUAUCUUUGUCCUUCUGCAUCUCUAUUUUCAUAUGUUUCACCCUAUCAGUUUCUCUUUUUAUUUCCUCAACUCUGGCAUCCAUAGAUAUCAUGUGAUUUUGUAUGUCCACUUUGGCCUGUCCGAUCUUUUCCCAUUCCUUUUUGACCAACUCUCUAUUCAUCACCAACUCCUCUCGACCUCUCUCAAUUUCAUAUUUCAUCUCUUCCAGAUCCUUUUCUUUUCUUAAAAUAUCUUGCCAUUUCUUUUCAAUGAGGUUGUUUUCUGUAAGCGCUUGAGCUCUCAGCUGGUUUAUUCUCUCAAUCUCUUGUUUUGAAAAAUCUCUGUUUCUUUCAACCUCUUCUCUUGUUCUUUGAAUCUCGUCUUGCAGGUAUUUCAGCUCAUCUUUCUCUCUUUGGAUUAUAGCUCUCUGUUCCAGCCCUUCUUUCUCUGUUUCAUGCCAUCUUUGCUCCAUUUCCAUCUUCACUUGCUGUAUGUCAACUUUAAUCUGCUCAAAUUGGUCUCUUUGCCUCUUGAUGUCAUACUUCUUUCUCUCCAGGUCGCUUUUCUCCUCCUCUAUUUCAGCUUUCAUCUGCUCCAUCUGACACUUUGCUUUCUGUGUUUCCCCGAUCUUCAUCUCUAUCUCGUUGAUCUGAACUUGUAUGGCACUUUUCAUUUGUUCCAUUCGUUCCAUCUCGUACUUUGUGCUUUCACGGUUGCUCUCCAGCUCCUCCUUCUGUCUCAGAGUCUCAUAUCUGAUCAUCUCCAAGUUCUGUCUCUCUCUCAUGAUUUCAUCAUGCUUUUGCUCCAGGGUGGUUUGCUCAGUUUGGAGAUCAGAUCUCAUUUGCUCAAUCCUCUCCCUCUCUCUAUUUACCUCUUCUUUAUUACGAUCCAUUCUUUCGCAGAUGUGGUCCAUCUCAGCUUUCAUGUGAGUAAUAGUUCUCUCAAGUUGUCUUUUCUCAGUGGUCAUCCUGACUAUCUCAUCUUGCUGUUUCUGAAUCCUCUGUCUCAUGUAGUCUAUCUCAGUCCUCUCUUGCUUAGUUCCUUCCCAAAGUUUCUCGAUCUGCUCAAUGGCACGCAUUGUUUCUAGUCUACGCCUUUUUAGAGAGUCUUUUCUUUUCUGGGUGUCACUUGAAUGUCCAUUUCUGUCAUCCUGUCUUCUUUUUUCUCUGGGAGAACUGGGUGGACUGAUUCUCUCUGUUUGUGUAUGCUUGCUGUUGCGUUGUCUCCACUCUGCAAAAUAAUAAUAAAAAAAGAUAAAUAACUAAACUUAUUAUUAUUAUUAAUAAAUAAAUAUUAAUGCAAACGUUUUUUUUUCUUUCUCAUACAACUUAGUAAGUUUGUAGUGCCAUGUUAAUAAUGACCAUGACUGAAUUAACUUAGUGAUAAGAAUUCACAAACUGGACAGAUCCAGUUCUCGUUAAAUGGCACUAUUGCUAUCCACUAAAAUUAAUUAGAUUUUCUAACCUAGUUCUUGAAUCAGUUCAGGCUCUGUCAUUCUCAGGAUGAGAUGGAAGGACACUCUGUUUAGGGGUGGCUCUCUUUCCAAAGCCUCAAACAGGAGCCGCAUUGCCUCCUGCUGGGUUGGAGCAGCCUGCACUUGUUGAGCUGCUGCUUCAUGGAUCAGACUUUGGGAGACAACAGCCUCAGCAAUGUCACUGACCCGAGUAGCCCUCGUAAUUAUCUGCUCCUUGAAUUCUGUCAGGAAAUCUCCAACUGUUGGGAAGGAGAACAUUUGCACUGCAUUAAUAAACAAUGCAUUACACAGUCACAAUUAAAUGUAGAUUAAAUUAAGUAGUGCAGUGAACUUUACCGUAAUCUCUGGAUUCUGCCAUGGCUGCUUGCUUGCUUAAGAAAUUAAUUCCAUUGUGUACUACAGUAUUUAAAAAUAACAAAAUAUCAUUAAAAAUAAAGGAACAUAAGGAAUAAACAUAAAGGAUAAAGUGUACAGAAAUGUAAAGGUGAAGUUAUUUGAGUGUUGUACCGUUUUCAAAAGAUUUUAACUGUGAAAUGUAUUGUAAAAUAGAGAAAAACAAUAAAGCAAGAUAUACAUUCAAUCCAGAUCAUUUUUAUACAUGAGUAUUAAGGAGGCAGAAAUGGGAUUGCAGCAUUUUUUAUAGACUUGCAUUGUUUUCUUGACAAAUGUUUUUAUCCUUUAACUUAAUAAGUAAAACACAUUUUGAAGUUAUAAAUAACAUGAUUAUUAAUAUGUUUUACAAUAAAUAUUAUUUCAGUUUCUCUUCAAAAUGUCAUGUUUAAUUUGUUGCCAUGUCCUUAUAUUUGUUUGUGAAAUUUACUAGCCAUUUCUGAGUGAUUUUUUUUUUCUAGUGCUAAGAUAUGACUUAAGGAACUAAUAUUAUUUUAUAAAAUUGUUUAAAAGAUUCUUACCUUUUGUGAUAUUACUGGAUUUAAUUAGUUCUGUAAAAAGUUGUGGUCUGAUGAUGGAGGCAUAUUGCUCUAGUAAUGGUGAAG
Long non-coding RNA from Cyprinus carpio carpio, 40616 nucleotides. NCBI's taxonomy places the organism in Eukaryota, Metazoa, Chordata, Actinopteri, Cypriniformes, Cyprinidae. The record is from Ensembl.